This is a long non-coding RNA of Lagenorhynchus albirostris (white-beaked dolphin), 1728 nucleotides long. RefSeq lists it as uncharacterized. The record is from RefSeq and is a predicted model, not a curated record. The transcript has 3 exons. NCBI's taxonomy places the organism in Eukaryota, Metazoa, Chordata, Mammalia, Artiodactyla, Delphinidae.
CUUCCUCCAAUGUGUGGGGAAGACCCGAACCCCGGCAGCCAGCCCCUCUGAGUCCGGCCCACGGACGGGAGUACAGGGUCCAGGCAGGUCUGGGAGGCGGCCCGAUCAGGACUCGCCUCUGGCCCCAGCGCUGUGGUUCAGAGGCGAUGCUCUUAAUUUACUCUUCACUCAGCAAGGAGCCAGAAUGGUCCAGCGCACAGCGGGAAGCUGUGACAAAGCUCGUAGUAAGUGCUUUCUGGAGCUCGGUAUCAGGACCUAUGAAUCAGCUGUCUGGUGCUUCCUCCAAGAGCGAAGGAUGUACAUUUAGCCAGCCGUCAGGGACACGGAAUUAUGUGUUUGGGGGAGUAGCGAAUAGCCAGGUUCACGGAAGGGGUCCCACAAGUGGGCACUUAUUUAAACCCGCUCGUGGCGACCCACCCAGACUGACAAAUUCCUUUGAAAACGGAAGGCUUAAUGGCCCGUCUUGGGCAGGUAAUCUCUGUUUUUGCUGCAAACGUGGCGUCCCGCCGUUGGGCCCACUUCUUCCCUGGCCCCUGUCACCUCCCUGUGUACAGGCAUGCUGCAGGGGGGCUGCAGUUACAGGGCAGCUGUCCCCCCUCUGCUGCGCCCCCUACCCCACUGCCCUCUCUCCCCUUUUUCUCCUGACCACUCACCUUCUAACCCACGGGCUCUGUUUACCCUCUACUCCUGUUUCCUCCGGGGCAGGGGGUUUACACUGUUUUCUGCUGCGUCCCCACACCUGGCUCCAAGCAGCAGCCCAGGUUCUACCUGGGGAGUGAAUCAGCCGUGAGUUCCCAGGGAGACCCAACCAAGAGAAGAGAGAAUAUCUUUAAGCUUUAAGGCUUGGCGGCCGGCAGGGCUGAAGCCCACGGAGCAGGCGGCCGUCUGGAAAUUGGGGUGGGGCUCGAGCCACAGCCGUGAGGCAGAAUUCCCUGUUUCCACAGGAAACCGCCGGGUUUUCUCUUAAAGCCUUCAACUGAUUGGGUGAGGCCCACCCGCUUUGUUGAGGUUGCUCAUCACUCCAAGAUGCUGAUGGCUGGUGCUACCCAGCCUGCCAGGUACCUUCACAGCAGCGUCUGGAUCAGCGUUGGAACCGUGGGGACGGCAGCCUGAUAAGACGGCCCCGGAGCCGAGUGUCCGGGGGGUGAGGGAGGCGCGUGCAGCGCCACGCCGAGGCAGACGUGCCUCUCUGGGCGUUCUUCCCUCCAGCACCGGGGGACACAAAGGACCAGUUCUCAGCCAUGACAGAUGGCCAGCGAGAGAGGAUGGCGGCCCAGUGAGGACCGGCGCAGGAGGGCGAGGGGAUAGACAGCGCAGGCGGUCAGAGGACGUGUGGGCACGUGGCCCAGGAGAGACUUGGAAGAGGCAGGCGGAGAAAUGUCCCCGCGUCCAGGAGGCGUCCGUGGAUGCGGCGACCUGGAGGGAGGUGGUCCUCUGCGCCGUCCGUCCCUGGAGCGGCGGGAGCCCGUGGGCGGGGCGAGGACUCUGCGGGGAUGGCGGCCGGGGUCCCUGCGGCCCUGCGGAGCAGCGAGGGGGCGGAGGACCGAGAGUUGCCCCAAGGACAGCGGGGGAGUGGACGCUCCCGGGAGCCCCCAGCGGCUGGUUUUGAGGGACCACGGGAGGAGGUGGAGGCAUGGGGCCCACGGGGAGGCCGGGAAGGCCGUGCGCCCCUGUCUCAUCGCCUCCCCCAAGCCCCGGCAGGAGGCGCUGGUUCUGCAAGACGGAAGU